AAGUGAGUACGAACCAGAGGAUUACUCAUCAUCAGAGCCAUCAGAUUCAGAAACGCUCAAUGAAGACUAUCCUUUCAAUGCUAUUAGUUUACUGCCAAACCGAAGAGGUGCUCCUAAAAUGUUCAAGGCCAUCGAGCUUUCGUCUCUGUAUCAGGGCCCACUUGAAAAGAAGAAAAAUAUGGAAGAACUUUUUCAAUUUAUUCCUCCGAUUCAUCAAAAUUACUUCAAGGAUGUAAUUGGAAAUUGUGACGUUGAAGAUCCUGGGCCCCUUGAAGAAUUGGAAGAAGAAGAUGAUGACAGUUAGUUUCCCCAUUGUUUUGGAAUAUACUCGUGUUUUUAUUUUUCAUAUAAAUUAUGUUUUAUUUCCUCUUUUGGUAAUAAAUUUUUAAAAACGUU
This is a long non-coding RNA of Photinus pyralis (common eastern firefly), 396 nucleotides long. RefSeq lists it as uncharacterized. Lineage: Eukaryota; Metazoa; Arthropoda; Insecta; Coleoptera; Lampyridae. The record is from RefSeq and is a predicted model, not a curated record. The transcript is spliced from 2 exons.